UACGUAGGGUGCAAGCGUUGUCCGGAAUUAUUGGGCGUAAAGAGCUCGUAGGCGGCGUGUCGCGUCGGGAGUGAAAGACCGGGGCUUAACCCCGGUUCUGCUUCCGGUACGGGCAUGCUGGAGUGUGGCAGGGGAGACUGGAAUUCCUGGUGUAGCGGUGGAAUGCGCAGAUAUCAGGAGGAACACCGGUGGCGAAGGCGGGUCUCUGGGCCAUUACUGACGCUGAGGAGCGAAAGCGUGGGGAGCGAACAGG
This 253-nucleotide ribosomal RNA is filed under the name uncultured bacterium. Its description in RNAcentral is "partial 16S ribosomal RNA". It matches the Rfam family "Bacterial small subunit ribosomal RNA", at positions 524 to 776 of the family's 1533-position model. The record is from RNAcentral.